AUGGAAGCACUCAAGCUCACCAGGCUAUUUCGUCGCUCUGUUAAGCUUGCCGCAAGCAUUCAAGUGGGUCCAGCAGUGUUCAGAGGGCUCACAGUCACUGUUCAUGUAAAGAAUGAGUACGUUCUCACCCUCUUCAUUUCUCACAGAAAACGGAGCACCUGGAAGUCCUGGCGGUCACGCCUGACAGACCACGCCUGGUGCAGCCCGCUCUGCGCGGAGGGGUCCCCCCGCGCCGAGUCAGGUCACAGGAAGUGCUUCACCACCACCUUCUACAAAGCAGAAAUGAACCCACCUGAGACCACCUUACCCACCAAAGGGUGGGCUCCCUUAAGUGAAGGAAGCAGAAAGCAAGGCCCCGACUUGGAGGUGCUGGCCUGCAUGUGGGAUCCCAGAGAAGGGCUCAACAACAACAAGAUGCUGUUGGAAAAGUCUCUUUCCCAUUCCCAAGACCAAGAAGUCAUUAGAACCAGGAUUAUACCAUGACCUUUACUCCGGAUUCCAGAGCACAUGGAAUAAAACCUGUGAAUCCUCUGCA
RNAcentral lists this long non-coding RNA (535 nucleotides) under Oryctolagus cuniculus (rabbit). RNAcentral's name for it is "lncRNA (ENSOCUG00000037080.1)". The record is from RNAcentral. Lineage: Eukaryota; Metazoa; Chordata; Mammalia; Lagomorpha; Leporidae.